GAAGUUGCCCAUGUUAUUUUCG
RNAcentral lists this microRNA (22 nucleotides) under Dasypus novemcinctus (nine-banded armadillo). RNAcentral describes it as "dno-miR-495-5p". Its record names the gene dno-miR-495-5p. The record is from miRBase by way of RNAcentral. RNAcentral also lists the same sequence under 10 other names. Lineage: Eukaryota; Metazoa; Chordata; Mammalia; Cingulata; Dasypodidae.